RNAcentral lists this ribosomal RNA (497 nucleotides) under uncultured bacterium. RNAcentral's name for it is "partial 16S ribosomal RNA". It matches the Rfam family "Bacterial small subunit ribosomal RNA", at positions 28 to 507 of the family's 1533-position model. The record is from RNAcentral.
GAUGAACGCUGGCGGCGUGCUUAAUACAUGCAAGUCGAACGGACGGACGCGGCGCUUGCUUUGCUGUUGUUAGCCGCGGACGGGUGUGUAACACGUGGAUAACCUACCUAUCAGACUGGGAUAACUUCGGGAAACCGGAGCUUAUACCGGAGAAUAUUUUGAACCGCAUGGUUCAAAAGUGAAAGACGGUGUUGCUGUCACUUCUAGCUGGUUCCGCGCUGCAUUGGCUGGUAGUUAAGGUAAAGGCUUACCACGGCAACGAUGCGUAGCCGACCUGAGAGGCGGAUAGGCCACACGGGAACGGAGACAGGGUCAAGACUCCUACGGGAGGCAGCAGUAGGCAAUCGGACGCAAUGGGGGAAAGCCUGGCGCAGCAGCGCCGCGUGAGUGAUGAAGGUCUCCGGAGCGUAAUACCCGGUUAUUAGGGAAGAACAGAUGUGGAAGUAAACGUGCACAGCGUGACGGUACCUAAUCAGAAAGCCACGGCUAACUACGUG